UGGGGAAUAUUGGACAAUGGGGGCAACCCUGAUCCAGCAAUGCCGCGUGUGUGAAGAAGGCCUUCGGGUUGUAAAGCACUUUAGGCUGGGAAGAAGUUGUUUCGUUUAAGAGAUGAGACAAUUGACGGUACCGGCAGAAUAAGCACCGGCUAACUCUGUGCCAGCAGCCGCGGUAAUACAGAGGGUGCGAGCGUUAAUCGGAAUUACUGGGCGUAAAGGGCGCGUAGGUGGUUUAUUAAGAUUGUUGUGAAAUCCCUGGGCUUAACCUAGGAACUGCAACGAUGACUGAUAAGCUUGAGUACUGUAGAGGGUAGUGGAAUUUCCGGUGUAGCGGUGAAAUGCGUAGAGAUCGGAAGGAACACCGGUGGCGAAGGCGGCUACCUGGACAGAUACUGACACUGAGGCGCGAGAGCGUGGGGAGCAAACAGGAUUAGAUACCCCGGUAGUCC
This 449-nucleotide ribosomal RNA is filed under the name uncultured bacterium. Its description in RNAcentral is "bacterial SSU rRNA". It matches the Rfam family "Bacterial small subunit ribosomal RNA", at positions 355 to 796 of the family's 1533-position model. The record is from RNAcentral.